CCCAUUUGUAAGCAGUGUCAGUAAUUGUGCUAUUUUUUAAACAGGAGAAAAUAAAACAUACUUAAUUGACAUUUUAAUUACUGCAUAGUGUAGUUAGGAGCAUGCAAUGCAUAAGACAGAAGCUGAGCAUGAUAUUAACCUGUUUAGCAUACUUAUAUGUUUAUAAAACCCGUUAGCUAUCCUUUAAGGAGAAAUAUUUUGUAAAUUAAUGACCUUAACUGUCAUUUGGAUGUUUCUGUUAAGGUUGUUUGUUUUAUUUUAGACCAUAAAAAAAAA
Molecule: non-coding RNA, 276 nt
Organism: Pelobates cultripes (western spadefoot toad)
Lineage: Eukaryota; Metazoa; Chordata; Amphibia; Anura; Pelobatidae
Source: the annotation of a GenBank genome assembly